AUGGCCGGCACACAAUCGGUGUCUCAUUCAUCUACUGCCGCAGCAAUGCUCUCCGGUUCAGCGACGGCCACACCAGCAGGGGCAGGAAGCUCAGCGCCACCUUCAGCCCAAGUCUUGUCUGAUUUGUUCGACGCUCUGGCAACAUUGAUGUCCGCGGAGGUAGACGCAGCAGCCAAGGAUCAGCACGAUGCGGAGAUUGUAAAGGUGAAAGAUCAGAUAGCCCAGACUAAAGCGGACCUGGCAACAGAGAAUGCCAGGAUGGCUACGGAGCGGGCCGAGUUGGAAGCACAGGCUUACCGGAUUAGAUUGGAUCAGAAUGCUUCAGAGGAAGUCAUGAGAAGCAUAAUCUUUUCAACACGCCAGGCGCAGGAGCUGGUAACCAGCCCACGCUAA
This 393-nucleotide ribosomal RNA is filed under the name Triticum aestivum (bread wheat). Its description in RNAcentral is "partial small subunit ribosomal RNA". Lineage: Eukaryota; Viridiplantae; Streptophyta; Magnoliopsida; Poales; Poaceae. The record is from RNAcentral.